RNAcentral lists this transfer RNA (76 nucleotides) under Pseudomonadota bacterium. RNAcentral's name for it is "Proteobacteria bacterium (activated sludge metagenome) tRNA-Thr". It matches the Rfam family "tRNA". From Rfam's summary of the family: Transfer RNA (tRNA) molecules are approximately 80 nucleotides in length. Their secondary structure includes four short double-helical elements and three loops (D, anti-codon, and T loops). Further hydrogen bonds mediate the characteristic L-shaped molecular structure. tRNAs have two regions of fundamental functional importance: the anti-codon, which is responsible for specific mRNA codon recognition, and the 3' end, to which the tRNAs corresponding amino acid is attached (by aminoacyl-tRNA synthetases). tRNAs cope with the degeneracy of the genetic code in two manners: having more than one tRNA (with a specific anti-codon) for a particular amino acid; and 'wobble' base-pairing, i.e. permitting non-standard base-pairing at the 3rd anti-codon position. The record is from RNAcentral. Lineage: Bacteria; Pseudomonadati; Pseudomonadota.
GCCCUUGUAGCUCAGUUGGUAGAGCACCUGAUUUGUAAUCAGGGGGUCGCGGGUUCGAACCCUGCCAGGGGCACCA